RNAcentral lists this transfer RNA (87 nucleotides) under Gemmatimonadaceae bacterium. RNAcentral's name for it is "tRNA-Ser". It matches the Rfam family "tRNA". Rfam says of the family: Transfer RNA (tRNA) molecules are approximately 80 nucleotides in length. The record is from RNAcentral. Lineage: Bacteria; Pseudomonadati; Gemmatimonadota; Gemmatimonadia; Gemmatimonadales; Gemmatimonadaceae.
GGGCAGGUGGCUGAGCGGUUUAAAGCUCCGGUCUUGAAAACCGGCGUUCCUGCAAGGGAACCGGGGGUUCGAAUCCCUCCCUGCCCG